This is a non-coding RNA of Pangasius djambal, 73 nucleotides long. NCBI's taxonomy places the organism in Eukaryota, Metazoa, Chordata, Actinopteri, Siluriformes, Pangasiidae. The record is from the annotation of a GenBank genome assembly.
UUGUGGUAGCUCAGUGGUUAUGAUGUUGGACUACUGAUUGGAAGGUCAUGAGUUCAAUCCUCCGCACCACUAA